AUGAUGUGUCACCCAAGAGGUCAAGAUCAUUUAGUUUCAAAUGUUCAUUCAAAUUUAAAUUAGGGAGGGAAUACUUGUAGUAUAAACGCAAUUCAUACAAAAAGGCCUUUUACAUUCAAGUCACCUUAUAAGGAAUACAAAAUCACAAAAUUCCAUACAAGUUAUCACAUGUUGACCUAACAUUUGACUUUGGUCAAUUGUUGAGUUUUUGGUCAAACAGUUGACCAAAGUCAACUACUAUUUCUAAUCCUUACCCAUAAUUCCUCAUUUACAAGCCAACUCAUUUCACUCCUAUAACUUCAAGAUUCUUCAUGCUUUGGUGCCAUGCUCCCAUGCCAUACCAAUUUUGUGUGCCAUUCUUUAAUGAUACCUUUUCAAGCCAUGAUCACUCCACCAAAUUAGUAAUGGCCCUGCAUCAAACAAACCAACAAUUCAAGUUCAUAAAGCUAGCAUAAUAUUCAAGCAUAGUUAUCACAUCAAACACCAACCAUGACACAUAUGCAUACAUAAUGCAAACUAUGCCAAAAACCAAGAAACGAAUCAUUCACAAAACCAAACUUAGCAUAUCUCAAUUCAGUUCACAAAUCAUGCUAACUUAUUUAUAGCAAUCAUCAUGUGACAUUCCAUUACCAUAAUAACUUGCAUAAUCUCUAAACUACUAUAUGACACUUUACAUUAACAAUCCCAAUUCAAUACUAACAUCAGCUAACUUUAAAUGUCAGCAGAGAACAAACUAACAGUUGAUGUUUCAUUUCAAAACUAAUAACACUAACAACCAUGUUACACUAACACUUUAACAUAAUUAACCCUAACACAAUUCUAACAAUUUGAAACUGUCAAUUCCACUACACAAUUAAUCAUAAUAACUUGUUCAUAGAACCUAGUCUCAAAUUCUAGCAUCCAGACAAUGUGUCUAAUAUUUAGUGUUCGUUAGCCAUAACUAGUUAACCUCAAGUUCAAACCCUUAGCUAACUAAUAUCAAAAUCAACUAAUGCUUCUACUAUUUUAAUUUCCUAACAUUUCCAUUAUUGAGCACAUUAUAAUGAAUCUUAUCCAAACUAUCAUCUCUAACACUUCUCUUUCAAAACUCUACAAUUCACUAACUUAUUAACAAAGUAACAAUUAACCAAUUGUAAAGUUUCGAAACACGUUCAACCAACACUAAUGCCAAUACAUGCUAACAAACAUUUGAACCGAACUCGAAACCAAAUAACUCUAAGAGGUGUUAACUCUUUUUACAAUAGAACUAACUUUAGCUAUUGUAUUAAUUCAAAUGUCUCCCUUAACUAAUCUUAAAACUGACUCAUUCCAUCCAAACUUAACGGUGAACACAUCAUAAACUCAACACCUUCUAAUAACUAACUUUAGUUCAUCUAACUAAUCAAUUUCAAUUAACAACUAACUUAACAGAAGCUAACAAUUUUUACAGAAUUGCUAAAAGUUAACAAAGUGACACUAUGAAUGUUAAGUGACCUAAAUCCUGCCCUAACAGAGCUACCUGAGCUACCCUAAUCAGUUACAUAUUCAAACUCAGAUUCAUGGACAUUCAAUCAUUUUUCACACAUUAUUCAAUUAUCUCCAAUCAUUGGCUCAUAAAUCUUUCUCAACCAUCACCUCAUCAUAGAAUUCGCAGAAAUCAAAACCUCACUCAGUAUAAUUCAAUUUCUUUGAGAAUGCAGCUAUAGAAGGAGAAGAAGAAGAAGGUAGUUAAAGGAAAAUGGAAUUCAAAACCAUUGACUCUGGAGUCUCUAGAAUUCUUGCUCCAUCAUCACCUUCACCAUUUGCAACGAGCACCAGGACGCAUCUCAGUCUCGUAGGUUGGUUAAACUUUAUCUCCUCGCUUAAAUCUCCUUACCAAAAUGUAGAGGUCGUCCUUGGGAGACAAACCCCUAAGGUUUAGGCUCAAAUUAUUUUUCCUUCAUUGUUUAAUUGCAAUUUGUAGUUUUAGGGUUUUUCUUCCUUUUGCUUCGAUUUAGAUUAUGGAGGACGAUUAGGUAAAAAUGGAUGAUGUAUUAUGAAAGAAGAACAAGAGACAAACACUUUGAUGUAUGAAUGGACGUGAAUGGACCUCCUCCGGAGGCUAUUUCUGGUGCGGCAGAGUAUGUUAGGUCAGGAGAAGCAAGUUACACGUUUGAAUGAGGAACAUAGAUGACUUGAGAAUGAGCUUGCACUCUUCAGUAUUUUGGUUUCGAGUUUGGGCAUGUUGUCCUUGGCCCAAGUGACCUUUGCAUGCUACACCACAUCAUAGUACAAUACACCCCACUAUGAUUGCAAGCAAAAAAAUGUCACCUUGGGCUUUCUGUGUUAAGCCCAGUAGUGC
RNAcentral lists this long non-coding RNA (2320 nucleotides) under Lathyrus oleraceus (garden pea). Its description in RNAcentral is "Pisum sativum (pea) long non-coding RNA (PSAT_LNC037184)". Lineage: Eukaryota; Viridiplantae; Streptophyta; Magnoliopsida; Fabales; Fabaceae. The record is from RNAcentral.